RNAcentral lists this ribosomal RNA (396 nucleotides) under uncultured bacterium. Its description in RNAcentral is "partial 16S ribosomal RNA". It matches the Rfam family "Bacterial small subunit ribosomal RNA", at positions 523 to 918 of the family's 1533-position model. The record is from RNAcentral.
CUACGUAGGUGACAAGCGUUAUCCGGAUUUACUGGGCGUAAAGGGCGUGUAGGCGGUCUUGCAAGUCAGAAGUGAAAUUCCUGAGCUCCACUCGGGCGCUGCUUCUGAAACUGCAGGACUUGAGUGCGGAGGGGAUAGCGGAAUUCCUAGUGGAGCGGUAAAAUGCGCAGAUAUUAGGAAGAACACCGGUGGCGAAGGCGGCUAUCUGGACAGUAACUGACGCUGAGGCGCGAAAGCGUGGGGAGCAAACAGGAUUAGAUACCCUGGUAGUCCACACUGUAAACGAUGAAUGCUAGGUGUAAGAGGUAUCGACCCCUUUUGUGCCGGAGUUAACACAAUAAGUAUUCCGCCUGGGGAGUACGGCCGCAAGGUUGAAACUCAAAUGAAUUGGCGGGG